AUUGAACGCUGGCGGCAGGCCUAACACAUGCAAGUCGAACGGAUGAAGGGAGCUUGCUCCUGGAUUCAGCGGCGGACGAGUGAGUAAUGCCUAGGAAUCUGCCUGGUAGUGGGGGAUAACGUCCGGAAACGGGCGCUAAUACCGCAUACGUCCUGAGGGAGAAAGUGGGGGAUCUUCGGACCUCACGCUAUCAGAUGAGCCUAGGUCGGAUUAGCUAGUUGGUGGGGUAAAGGCCUACCAAGGCGACGAUCCGUAACUGGUCUGAGAGGAUGAUCAGUCACACUGGAACUGAGACACGGUCCAGACUCCUACGGGAGGCAGCAGUGGGGAAUAUUGGACAAUGGGCGAAAGCCUGAUCCAGCCAUGCCGCGUGUGUGAAGAAGGUCUUCGGAUUGUAAAGCACUUUAAGUUGGGAGGAAGGGCAGUAAGUUAAUACCUUGCUGUUUUGACGUUACCAACAGAAUAAGCACCGGCUAACUUCGUG
This 484-nucleotide ribosomal RNA is filed under the name uncultured bacterium. RNAcentral's name for it is "partial 16S ribosomal RNA". It matches the Rfam family "Bacterial small subunit ribosomal RNA", at positions 30 to 507 of the family's 1533-position model. The record is from RNAcentral.